UUUUGCAUAUCCAAAAAGCGGAGGAAAAGAAACCAACAGGGAUUGCCUCAGUAACGGCGAGUGAAGCGGCAAAAGCUCAAAUUUGAAAUCCCCCGGGAAUUGUAAUUUGAAGAGAUUUGGGUCCGGCCGGCAGGGGUUAAGUCCACUGGAAAGUGGCGCCACAGAGGGUGACAGCCCCGUGAACCCCCUCAACGCCUUCAUCCCAGAUCUCCAAGAGUCGAGUUGUUUGGGAAUGCAGCUCUAAGUGGGUGGUAAAUUCCAUCUAAAGCUAAAUACCGGCGAGAGACCGAUAGCGAACAAGUACAGUGAUGGAAAGAUGAAAAGCACUUUGAAAAGAGAGUGAAAAAGUACGUGAAAUUGUUGAAAGGGAAGGGCUUGCAAGCAGACACUUAACUGGGCCAGCAUCGGGGCGGCGGGGAGCAAAACCACCGGGGAAUGUACCUUUGAGGGAUUAUAAACCCCCGGGUCCUCUACUCUCCACAGCUCACCCCGAGGCCUGCAAUCUAAUGAUGACUGGCGAAUACCGAG
RNAcentral lists this ribosomal RNA (528 nucleotides) under Metschnikowia pulcherrima. Its description in RNAcentral is "partial large subunit ribosomal RNA". It matches the Rfam family "Eukaryotic large subunit ribosomal RNA", at positions 34 to 493 of the family's 3401-position model. The record is from RNAcentral. Lineage: Eukaryota; Fungi; Ascomycota; Pichiomycetes; Serinales; Metschnikowiaceae.